AGUGAACGCUGGCGGUAGGCCUAACACAUGCAAGUCGAACGGCAGCACAGUAAGAGCUUGCUCUUACGGGUGGCGAGUGGCGGACGGGUGAGGAAUACAUCGGAAUCUACUUUUUCGUGGGGGAUAACGUAGGGAAACUUACGCUAAUACCGCAUAUGACCUACGGGUGAAAGCAGGGGAUCUUCGGACCUUGCGCGAUUCAAUGAGCCGAUGUCGGAUUAGCUAGUUGGCGGGGUAAAGGCCCACCAAGGCGACGAUCCGUAGCUGGUCUGAGAGGAUGAUCAGCCACACUGGAACUGAGACACGGUCCAGACUCCUACGGGAGGCAGCAGUGGGGAAUAUUGGACAAUGGGCGCAAGCCUGAUCCAGCCAUACCGCGUGAGUGAAGAAGGCCUUCGGGUUGUAAAGCCCUUUUGAUGGGAAAGAAAAGCAGCAGGUUAAUACCCCGCUGUUCUGACGGUACCCAAAGAAUAAGCACCGGCUAACUUCGUG
Molecule: ribosomal RNA, 492 nt
Filed under: uncultured bacterium
Lineage: Bacteria
Description: partial 16S ribosomal RNA
Rfam family: Bacterial small subunit ribosomal RNA
Source: RNAcentral